Molecule: ribosomal RNA, 500 nt
Filed under: uncultured bacterium
Lineage: Bacteria
Description: partial 16S ribosomal RNA
Rfam family: Bacterial small subunit ribosomal RNA
Source: RNAcentral
GAUGAACGCUGGCGGCAGGCCUAACACAUGCAAGUCGAGCGGCUGAGUGGAGCUUGCUCCACGAUUCAGCGGCGGACGGGUGAGUAAUGCCUAGGAAUCUGCCUGGUAGUGGGGGACAACGUUUCGAAAGGAACGCUAAUACCGCAUACGUCCUACGGGAGAAAGUGGGGGAUCUUCGGACCUCACGCUAUCAGAUGAGCCUAGGUCGGAUUAGCUAGUUGGUGAGGUAAAGGCUCACCAAGGCGACGAUCCGUAACUGGUCUGAGAGGACGAUCAGUCACACUGGAACUGAGACACGGUCCAGACUCCUACGGGAGGCAGCAGUGGGGAAUAUUGGACAAUGGGCGAAAGCCUGAUCCAGCCAUGCCGCGUGUGUGAAGAAGGUCUUCGGAUUGUAAAGCACUUUAAGUUGGGAGGAAGGGCAGUAAGUUAAUACCUUGCUGUUUUGACGUUACCAACAGAAUAAGCACCGGCUAACUUCGUGCCAGCCGCCGCAGUAA